Molecule: ribosomal RNA, 290 nt
Filed under: uncultured bacterium
Lineage: Bacteria
Description: partial 16S ribosomal RNA
Rfam family: Bacterial small subunit ribosomal RNA
Source: RNAcentral
GUCCUACGGGGGGCAGCAGUGAGGAAUAUUGGUCAAUGGGCGCAAGCCUGAACCAGCCAAGUCGCGUGAGGGAUGACGGUCCUAUGGAUUGUAAACCUCUUUUGUCGGGGAGCAAGGCCCGCCACGUGUGGCGGGAAGGAGAGUACCCGAAGAAAAAGCAUCGGCUAACUCCGUGCCAGCAGCCGCGGUAAUACGGAGGAUGCGAGCGUUAUCCGGAUUUAUUGGGUUUAAAGGGUGCGUAGGCGGACUGUUAAGUCAGCGGUAAAAACCCGGGGCUCAACCCCGGCGAG